Molecule: long non-coding RNA, 18056 nt
Filed under: Theobroma cacao (cacao)
Lineage: Eukaryota; Viridiplantae; Streptophyta; Magnoliopsida; Malvales; Malvaceae
Description: long non-coding RNA (TCAC_LNC001017)
Source: RNAcentral
UCAUUUCUCUUGGCCGGCCAAAGGAAGAAAAGGGAAGAAAAGAAGAAGAACAAAACCCUAGGUGAAAAAAUUCAAGGGAAAAGUGUGAAAAUUCAAAGAAUCAAGUGACAAAAGGUAAGAUUUUUCAACUAUAGCUUGUGAUCUACCUUUCCUAUGCAUUCUUUUUCAUUUUUCAUAGUUGAGAAUCAAGUUUCCAUGAGGAUACCCUUGCUGGCCGGACAUGGGGGGAGGAGUUUUGAUGCUUGAUUUGGUUAGAUUUCAAUAUAUUUUAGUGUUUUUAGUUAGUUAGUGAUGUGUAGUAUGAAAAGCCAACAAGAAAAAUUCACUUCCUCCCAUCACCCAUCAUUGGCCGAAUUCUCCAUGUAAAAUAUUGAUGAUAAUUUUGAUUUUAUUUCAAGUGAUUUGGUUAGGAAUUAGUGAUUUAUGGUGUGAGAAUCAAGCUUGAAAAAUUAUAAUUUUGAUGCACCCACCAUGGCCGAAUUUUCCAAGAGCAAAUGUGAGGAUGAUUUUGCCAUAUUUCAAGUUAUUUAAUUUGUGUUUGAUGAUUUGGAGUAUUGGGAGAAAAAUGGAAUUAUUUGGAGUUGAAUUGGACGUAUUGGCCAAUUAAUCGAGUAAUAGAUCGAAUUAGGCCAAUACCUUUUUAUUUAGGUACACAAUUGAAUUUAUGUAGAACACUGUGUUUAAAUGAUAAUCCGAACAAUUUACAUCCCAUUUCAUGCAUUAGUAUAAAGCCUGAAUUGGUUUUAUAACAAUUUAGCACAAAUGUAGUAAAUGGCUUAUUGUGCAUUAUGUCUAGGUGGUGAGCAUUCUCGUAAAAGUAAAGAGAUAGUACCCGAGGAUCAAGAAUCGAAGUACUCGAAAUUCGACUCCUGAAAUAGUGAGUAACCUUACUAUCAUCUUAAUUAUCUAAAGUGGUUUUUAUCCGAUUUUGUGAUUUUAUGAAAAAUGAGUUAAAUGGUAAAUCUUUAUGUUUUAAAAGAAAAAUGUGAUUAAAUGAAAUGAUGGUUUGAAAAUAGAGUAAUUGGAGACCGUUUUCAUGUGUUGUAAAUUCAUGGUUUGAAUCGAAUGGCUUAUGACAAUAUUUGCAUGAAUGGCUAAAUUUGUAUUUGUGUUGAAAUAUAUGAACUGUGUAUUUAGACUUGAGAGGCUGGAUUGUGAUAUAAUUGCCAUCUUAUGCGAUUGAGAUUUUAUUGAAUUGGUGGGUUUAGCUUGCUAUAGUGGGUGGGUUCCGUGGACCAGCCUAUUAGAGGGGCACGGUAACCUUGUUAUAUUCUUACCUCGGUCGGAGAGGUGUGUACGGUAACUCCUGAGGUACAACUUUAGAGUUCACUUCAUGCCAAACCACCACGUGAGGGUGAACUCAGCCAACGCCAAGGAACGACUAUGUUUUCAAAAUAAAAAUAUGAUUUAUGCGUACAUGACUUUUUAACAGCCUUGACGAACUCGGUUGGGAUAACCCCAAGCCAAGGUAUCCCUAAUAACUGAGUAUGAGAAUGAUUUUGGCAUGAGCCAAAGUUUUAAGAAAUUCAUAAGUCAUGUUGAUUACUCGAUUUAUAUGAAUUGAUUUUAUUUGGUUGAAAUGAGUUGAAAAGUGAUGAAUUACAAUAUGCUAAUCUAUUUUAUCUGUCUCCAUUUACUCAGCUUUAGAUAUUUUAGAUGGUAUUUGUGUACUCACUUGGAUUUUAUAAUCUCACCACCCUCAUUUUCACCCAUUUCAGGCUCAAGAUAGUCGGUAGAUAGCUCAUUUCAUUGAGGGCUACAGUUGGAAUUGCAUCCUCAAAAACUGUAGGUUUACCACUUUUAAUACUUUUGGUCGUUUGUGGGCCCACGUGUCACUGUAAAUUAAAUCUUAUGCUUUGGUUAUCUGUAUUACAAUAUGUAUGAAUUUAGUUAGAUUUUAUGCUAUAAAAAUUAUUUACCGGUAACUCUAUAAAUAUUAUUUUAUAAGAAAUUAGAAUAUUUUAUUAAAUAUUUUUAUUAUAUUCAUAGUUAUAGUUUCUCUUUAAAUGAAUGUUUUAGACAUCUAAACUUAUUUAUGAUUAUGAAAUAUGUGUUUUCCACUCGCAUACUACAUUUUUAGCUGGUUUCGAGACUUUCGAGGAAAAAUGACCAAAAUGCCCCUGUGAGUGAAAAAUUAUUUUUCUAUUGUUUUGAUUUGGAAAUAGUUUAUAAUCUCUCAGAAUAUGAUACUUAACAACUGUUGCUCACAGGGGAGGUGCGAAAACUGAUAUUAAAGCCUUGCGGGGUUUCAGUUGACAUUUCGGGUAAUGAGUGUCGAUCGGGACACCGCGACAGUUGUCACAGGCUCGAGGGGAGUACCGGGUCGUGACAGUCGGUAACUAGGUCAAGGUGUCUUCAUAGAUUCGACUCUUGAUAGGUGUCUCGACAUUCAGUAGCUGUACUUUCGUCCGAGUUUCUCUGCUAAAAAUCGAGUCUCCUUUUUUAGAUGUAUAGACAAACCUGAUGUAAAUUAUUAAGAUACAUGUUGCAGACAAUAUAUGUAUAUUUUGAUGAGUAAUGCCACUACGAGUUGGCAAUGAUUAGCAUUAUUUGAUUCGAAAUUAUGAAAUGUGACUUUAGUAAAUUUGAUGGAAUGAUGAACAGGUCAUAUUAAUAGGUUUGCUUGGGCUUAGUGGACUACGUCCAUUGUGCCCAUGCACUUGUCAUGGCCCGGAAUUUAGGUCGUGACAAUAUGUCUACCCGAAUUGCAAAUCAGAUCACCUAAUUGAUGUAAACAUACACUAUUUAAAUCUUAGUUCAAUCUAAAAUCUCUCUGUCUAGUCUCAAUUAGAUUCACAAAUCAAUUAAUUGUUGGCCAAGCAAUCAAAAGCAUUAAGAACAUAUUUAAAUAAGCAAAACUACACCCAUUCAUACUAAAUAAAAGAGAAACUAAUAUUAAAACUACAUGUUGAAAUCCACCACAAUCUUAGAAAGAUAAUUUAGCUCAUAAUAUCUAAUAAAAGCAAUAUCCAAAGAAAUUUAGCCUUGAGUCCAAGUCAAAGAAAAUAAGAAAAACACAAAACUAUAGAAAGAAACUAAUUAUUGAAGCUUUGAAAUCGCAAUUCUCUCUCAAAUUCUCUUGUUUUCUUUCUUUGUUCUUGGCUCCAAAUCUCCAGAAUAGUUGCUUGUUGCCUCCCUCUUUAAACCUCUGAAAAAGAUCCCUUAAAUAGGCUCCAAGUAACCUAAUUUCUAAAAUUUCGUUAAAUUUUUAUUUUUGCAAAAUUGUCCGGCACUGCGACCAUAUCUUUUGGCACUGCGAAGCUGAAUUUUUGGAGUCGUGGCCAUGAUUUCUUGGCACUGCAGCGCUCCAGCCUUGGGAAACGUAUGGUGCACUUCCUUUCACUAGCGCUGCAGCCUUGUUUUCCAGCGUUGCGGCCUUCCUCCACUUAUUGCCUCUGUAAAACUGCAACAAUCGAGCAUCUUCCAAUGUGAUUUUCACAUUGAUAUGAUCCGAACUGGGCAAAGUGGUAAACAUAAAUUUUUUAGCCCUAUCUCGUAACCUUGCAAUGGAUUAAGAAUUAUGUCAAUUGGACUGAUGGAGUGAAAGAUAUGUUCCAAAUAACGCAUCAUGUUCAGUCCAUGCAUACUACUACAGUACCCUAACUUAGACAAAUAUUUUGACCAUGAUCCAAUCAUAAAUGGGUGAUGUGGUAAACAUAAAAGUUAUAGCCUUUCCUCUUAUAAUUCUAGUGGUCUAUGAAUCAUCUAAUUUGGAGUUUUAUAUAGAGAUAUAUGGUCAAAAUACCAAAAUAUAUACAAAUGAAGCCAUCACCAUACUUGCAUGGAUUUGCAUCAAAUGAUCUUUUUUCAUCAAAUUUCCUAUAAAAGCAAUAAAAGAAACCAGCAAUAACUAAUCUUAAAAUAAUUUAAAACAAAAUAACAUAAAAUUUAACUAAAUAACUUAAAUUAACUACUCAACAUAGAAUCAAAUUAAAACUAGAAACACACAUAAAAUGUUAUGAUCUGAACCUACAAUCUCAAAAUUCUAGCUACUUAAGCCCCCAAAAUGUGUCAAAAUAACUCUAUAUAAUAGAGUUAUCAAAUCCUACAGUCGAAAUCUUUGCUUCUUCACCUUUAGGAUUUAUCAAAUCUUCAGUCACCCAAGUGUUUGGCGUCUAACACUAAUCCACACAGUGACCGAAUAAGACCUUUUCAUAGAUAGGAUUUUGCUUGUGCAAACAAGAUUUGUUUCUAAAACAAAAAGACCAAAAAUUCUUACCGAAUCUUAUUUCUGUCAGACAAAGAAAACUACUGUUCUUUUCUUAUUUUUAUGAAAAGACUAAGAAGUGACUGAAGGUUUAGAGUAUUAGUUCGCUAACAUAACAUAUUUAAGUAGCCAAAUUAAGUUGUAACCCUAGAAACAACAUUUGUAUUUUUAUUCAAUUAAGUCUUUGUGAACUGAAUUAACUUUCCCACUUUAUUUGGUAUGCUUCAAUUAAAUCCAACUUAAUUAAUUAUUCUUAUUUAAUCCCAAUCAUGUCACUUAAUGUGUAAGACCCAUUAAGCUUCUAACAUGUUGUUAAUAAAUAUAAAUCCUACUCAAAUAUCAUUUUGAUAAUUGAUUUGUAAUUAUAGAUCAUGAGUAGCAUCUAGCAAUACAUCAUGACCACCCAAAUAUUAGAGAGUCAAUUAAAAAAUUUGACAAAGCCGUUUAGUGAUAAGCCUCUCAGUGCAAUACGGUCCUUUCAUCAAAUAUCUUGAAUAUGUCAUAAAGCAUGGCUUAGUGUCUACUUAUGACAUUCCAUCUUUUUUCUCAUAAUUCAUGAGCAACCUUAUGAAUUUAGGAAAUUAACUUUUCUCAAAUUCAUCAUGUUUUGACCAAAGACCUUAUACAAGUUAAUCAAGAAUUGAGAACAAGUGAAAUACAUCCCUUCAUAUCACUUGGGGUGAUGAAUCCUCUCUUGACCACUCAUUCACCUUCGCAUGCUUCAUGGUAUACCUAAAAACACCCUAUUUAGGCAUCUAGUCACCUCUAGACCCAUAAGGGUGAUAUCAAAGUAUGUCAUUCCCCAUAUAAGAUGACCUAGUGUCUCAAGUCCAAGGACUAGUUGCACAACUGUCACAUGAGAACGUAUUCCUUAAACAAUUGAGUGAAAUACCAAAUGGAGUUCUCAUAGUGGGUCAUGUUCAAUGAACUUAUUUUUUAACAAGCACUUACAUGUUAUCCUCAAGUAUCCCAUAUACUUCAAUCUAUGAGAUCGAUUGCUUACUUCACAAGUAAUGAGGCUUAACAUGUACCAAUCUUUAACCAUUGCCAAUGCCCUGUCGUGACAAUACAAUGACUAGGAAAUAUUUUAAGAACAGGGCUUUAAUGCAUAGUGAUCUCAUAAUUGUAACAACUUUACAAUUCUCUUACAAGGCCUUUAUGUUCCUUGGGCUUCAUCCAAUUAGUCCUUAAUAACUCUUUAUUAUUGCACUAACAUGAAUGAAAACCUCUGUUACAUAUAGUUAUGCGAUUAAGUAUGCAAUAAAUGACAAUAUAUAUUCCUUAACCAAUCCAAUUGGCUUAAGGGCAUAUACCAACAAUACAUGGGAAUACUUUCUCGCUCACAAAGAUGAUGCAUUGUCUACUUUUGUUAAACAUUGUAAAGAAUGCAAAAUAAGAAAGGGCUUACCAUUGUUAGUGUUAGAAGUGACCAUGGUGGUGAGUUUGAAAGUGAUAAUUUUAAAAUCUUUUGCAAUGAAAAUGAUUUGACCAUAAUUUUUCAACUCCUAGAAAUCCACAACAAAAUGGAGUUGUGGAAAGAAAAAAUAAGACCUUUAAAGAAAUGGCAAGAACAAUGCUUUGUGAAAACAACUUGCUAAAGUAUUUUUAGGUUGAAGUUGUGAACUAAAUAGCUUACAUUUUGAAUAGAGUUUACAUUAGAGCCAUGAUUUCUAAAACCUCUUAUUAGCUUUACAAAGGAAGAAAACCAAACAUUUCUCACAUAAGAAGUUUUGGAUGCAAAUGCUCUGUUUUAAAUAAUGGAAAACAUACCUUGGGAAAGUUUGAUGUUAGAAGUGAGAAAGCUAUUUUCUUAAGGUAUGCACUAAACUCUAAAACAUAUAGAGUGUUUAACAAAAGAACAUUUAUUAUAGAAGAGUUAAUACACAUUGUUUUUUAUGAGUAUAAUUCUGCACAAACAAAGGUAGUUGUUGAUGAUGAUGAUGCAAAUGAUAUUGAGAAGAAAAUGGAAAAGAUGAGCUUGGACAGCAAAAAAGAUGAUAGAGGAAGCUCAAAGGAUAAAAAUGUAGAAGAACUACCUCUAGAAAACCUCCAAAAAGCUGAAGAACAACACAGUUAUCUUUUUAAAAGUUGGAGAUUUGUAAGAAACCAUCCUCAAGAACAAAUUAUUAGUGAUCUUUCUGAAGGUGUCAAAACUAGAAGAGGUCUAAGAGAAGCUUUUGAAUAUCUUGUAUUCACAUCACAACUGGAACCAAAGAACUUUGAGGAAGCUAAAAUGGAAGAAAGUUAGAUGAUUGCAAUACAAGAGGAACUUGGCCAAUUUGAAAUGAACAAGGUUUGGACCUUAGUUCCAAGGCCAACCAACCAUCCAAUUAUUAGUACAAAAUGGGUAUUUAAAAAUAAGAUGGAUAAGUUGAGAAAUGUGGUAAGGAACAAAGCAAGGUUAGUUGGUCAAGGCUAUAAUCAAGACGAAGAUAUUGACUAUGAUGAAACAUUUGGUCUUGUAGCUAGAUUAGAAGCAAUUAAACUUUUACUUGCCUAUGCUUGCUACAUUAAUUUUAAAUUGUUUCAAAUGGAUGUCAAAAGUGCAUUUCUAAAUGGCUUUAUACAAGAAGUGUAUGUUGAACAACCCUUGAUUUUGAAGAUUUUGAUAAAAUUGAUCAUGUGUAUAAAUUGCAUAGAGCUCUAUAUGGAUUGAAACAAGCUCCUAGAGCUUGGUAUGAAAGACUUUAAAAAUUCUUAAUUGAAAAAUAAUCAUUUAAGGAAAGUGUAGAUAAUACUUUUUUCAAAAAGAAAAAUGAAACUGAUUUGAUUGUAGCUCAAAUAUAUGUUGAUGAUAUAGUAGUUGAUGCCACUAAUGAAAAGUUGUGUGAGAAUUUUGCUAAGGUAAUGUAUAGUGAUUUUGACAUGAGCAUGGCGGGAGAGCUAAAAUUCUUCCUUGGUCUACAAAUCAAGCAAUGUGAGGAUGGAAUAUUCAUCAACCAAGAGAAAUACACUAAAGAUAUGUUGAAGAAAUUUGGAGUGAUGAAUAUGAAAUCAAUCAAAACUCCUAUGAGUCCUUCUACAAAGCUUGACAAAGAUGAUAAAGGAAAAGAUGUGGACCAAAAACUCUAUAGAAGUAUGAUUAGCUCACUUCUUUAUUUAACUGCAAGUAAACCUGAUAUUUUGAUUAGUGUUAACCUAUGUGAAAGAUUCCAAUCAUGUUCAAAGGAAUCACAUUUGACUGCAAUGAAGAGAAUUUUUAGAUAUCUCUUGGAUACACAAGGGUUAGGCCUAUGGUAUCUAAAAGGAUCAUCUUUUAACCUUCUUGGUUAUUCUAAUGUUGAUUUUGCUAGUAGCAAAACAUAUCAAAAAAGCACUAGUGGCACUUGUCAAUUCCUUGGAAACAUGCUUAUAUCUUGGUCUUACAAGAAACAAAAUUCUGUUGCUCUUUCAACUGCUGAGGUUGAAUAUAUCUCACUAGGUGGUUGUUGUGCACAAAUAUUAUGGAUUAGAUGGCAACUAAAUGAUUUUGCAAUGUUUAUGCAUAAAAUUCCUAUCUUUUAUGAUAACAUGAGUGCCAUAAAUAUAUCCAAAAAUAUUGUUCAACACUCUAGUACUAACCAUAUUGAAAUUAGACAUCAUUUCAUUAUGGAUCAUGUGCUUAACGGAGAAGUUAAAGUAGAAUUUAUAGAUACCUUGCAUCAAUUGGCUGAUAUUUUCACAAAACCAUUGAGUGAAGUUCAAUUUUGUACGAUCAGGGGAGAAUUAGGAAUGAUUGAUGCUAAUGAAUUCUAACUAAGCUAAAUUGAACAUGUUUUUAUGAUAUAGAGUAUGAUGGCUAUGCUCAUUUAUUGUUAAUUUAAUAGAAAAUGCUCUAAUUAGUUAAAAAGACCUUAGAAGGAAUAUAAGAUUUGAAUUAAUUAGCUACGGCACUCUUUAGUCAAUUAGAGCAAUUAUGUGCUAAGGUGAUUGACUUAAGUCAGUAAGGUAUUAAUCAAUUAAAAAUUCCCUUAACUAGUUAAAGUAGUUGUGGUCAUUAGAAUGUUCUAAGUUAAUAACACUUUAAUAGGUUAAAGCUUGCUCUAACAUAUUAAAGCACUUUAGAUGAUGUGAGAAUUGACAUGCGAGAAAUUUUAAAAAUUAAAAAAAAAUGACGAGCGAGAAGUACGAGAAACCACCCACUCAAAACAUGGGCUAAUUGGUUACAAAACCACUUUUUAAACUCAUCAGCUUCUCAAAAACCCAUUUUAAAAAAUCUAAACCCCAAACACCCAAAUCUCUCUAAAAUUUAUCUUUCCUUUCUCUAGUUCUAUGUUACAACGAAAAACCCUAAGUCACUAACUUUAGCAAAAUCAAUGGCUAAAACCUUUCUCACCAACAAAGUUAUUGACAAAAGUAAAAACAAAAGACAAAUUAAGAACUCUCCUGCUCCACAACCCAAGAAAAUGAGUAAAAUGGAUCUAAGUUCACUUGCUGAAAUGAAUAAGGAAUACUAGAGGACAAUGGCAACCAAGACAAAAGAAUCUAUAGUAAAAGGAAUCUCCAUUGGGAAAGGUAAUCCAUCAAAUUCUUAAUUUAGAAACAAUACUCAUGCUGAUAUGUUUAAAAAGAUUGAAAAUGCAACCAUUUUUUAUGGAAAUUCCUUGAUUGGCCUAGUUUUGAUGAGGUUCCUUCUAUCAAAUCUAACUUAUCUAGAUACUUUGAGGAACUAAAAUUGAAAGAACUUAGUAUUUUUGGAGAUAGGUCAUUUAGACCAACUUUAAUUGAAGAGUUUUAUUCCAACAAUGCUUUUGAUAAGAAUGAGUUUGUGAAUCUUGAGAAGUUCAUGGAAGAUGGAUUGAGUGCUUUUCAAUGUGGAAAAGAAUUUUUACUCACUGCCUCAAAUCUAGGAGAACUUCUAAAAACUGAAUUUCAAAUAGAAGAAUUUAAAGUUCCAGAGAACUAUGAUCUUAGCCUUAUUUGGGAAAUUGUGAUUGGAAGAAAAAAGAAGUAUCCUUCCAAAAGUUAUGCUAGUGACAUUAAGAAUGCACAAUUGAGAGUUUUUCACUAUUUUAUUGCCUCUAAACUUUCAUGGGAGAACUAGUAGUUUUAGUUAUGUAAGUGCAUAGGAUCUCUAGCUAAUAAAAUCUGCCUUCAAUGAGAUUCCACUAAAUAUGGCAAAAUUUAUGAUUGAGAGGAUUAAAGGAACUUAUUUGGGAGAAAAAACAAACCUACCUUAUGGAAAUAUCAUUUCAUCUCUAGUUAAGAAGAAAGGAAUUUGGAGUACUCAAUUUCAAGUCGAUUGGAUGAAGAGUAAAGUGAUGGGUUUGGCUAUGGAUGGCAUGCUCAAAAUACGCAGCGGAAAGAAAAUUAAAAACUUUAUAACUAAACAACAAAACAUGCCUCCAUCCAUUGAUCACCUUGGUGAUAUUUAACACAUAAAAGCACAAAAUAAAUUAUUGUUUAGAAAGUUACCUUACCAUGUAAUUUCGUAAUCACGAUGGCACUUUCUGAAGCAAUCCUGCGAGCACCACAAGGAGCAAAAACCCUAGCCAAUCAAGUGCUUGGCCUCCAAUGGUAGUACACACGAUUGCACUUGAACCUUCAACAAAGGAAGGAGUUUUUAACUAUACUUUGUGUUAGCAAAGAGGACAACAAUUGCCUUUUUCUUCUUUUUCACAAUCUCAGUCGAUCCUCUCUUGAAAAUUGUUUAAUAAGAAAUUUUCUCUUUCACACAAAGGGAGUGGUGGCAAAGAAAGAAAACGUUUUUCUUUUUCUAACAAAAACUACAUUUUCUUCAAUUGUGAAAAACUCUCAUAAGGAAAAAUAGUUAAAAUGUGACUUAUAUAGUUAGGUUAAAAUAACUUCAAUUUUGCAAUUAAGCCCUCAAUAUUAUAACACAUUAUAAUAUUGGGCCUAUUACUUAAUUAAACUCUUUUAAUUAAGUUCUUGGAAAUUAAAAUCAAAAUUAAUUUCCUUUAUAUUUUGCAAUCAAGGCCUUAUAGUUAUAACUAUUUAUACUUAUGCCAAAAACUUAAUUAAACUCUUUUAAUUAAGUUUAUAGAAGUUAAUUACCUAGCAUGUGAUUUAAGUUUAACUUAAAUCGUCACUCUCCCAAUUUAAUUCAAAUGCAAUCAUUGUGUGUGACCCAUUAGGUUCCCAACAUGUUGGCAAUGGAGUUGAUUAAUGACUUAAUUGAUUUAUAUAAAUUUCAAUCAAUUAGUUUAUAAUCAAUUCCAUAGACCAAGAUUGGCAUCUAGCAAUGCAUCAUGGUCACCCAAUUGUUGGGAGAGUCAAAGGGUUCUUUGAUAACCUUUCAGUGUACAGUCUAUUAGUGUAAUUCAUUCCCUCAUCAUAUAUCCUAGAGAUGAUAAGAGCUUGGUACAGUGUCUACUCAUAUUGACCUCCAUAUUUGUUCUGGCAAUUAUAGCAUUAGCUUUAUAGAGAGUUAUGAAACUUUUUUCAUAAUCUCCAUGUUGCCUUGGCCAAGGACUUCAAUAAGCUAAUUUUAACCAAGAACUGAUAGGAUAUGUCCUUUAAAACACUUGAGGUGAUGAUUCCUAUCUUGACCACUCAUUUGCCUUCACAUGCUUCAUACUAUACCCAAAAGCAUCCUGUUUUGGCAUCCUUGGUUAGGCACCCAUAGGGAUGAAAUCAAAGCAUAGCAUUCCAUAAAUAAGACAACCUGGUGUCUCAAGUCUAGGGAGUAUUUACACAACUGACACAUGAGAAGUGUUGCAUAGACACUAUAGUGCAUUACCAAAUGCACUUCUCAUGGCAGGUCAUGUUCAGUGAACUUGCUCUCUUAGGCAAGCACCUAUAUUUCAGUUUCAAGUAUCGCUACACUUCAAUCUAUGAGAUCGAUUGCUUACUUCCAAAGUAAGGAACAUAGAAUAUACCAGUCUUUAAACAUCUUUGAUGUCCAAUCUCAAUGAUACAUUGACCAGAAACAUUUUGAGAUAAUGCUUUGAUGCAUAAGAAUCUCAUAACUGCAACCCAUUAGAGCUUCCUUGCAAAGCAUAUUAAUCUCAUGGACUUCAUCCAAUUAGACUUAUAACUCAUUAUAAUUAAUGUCUUAUUGAUGAAGGAAAAGCUCUAAUCAUUCAACAUGAAUGAUACUGUUUCAUGAUCAAAAUCAAGCCUCAACCAAUCCCAAUUGGUUGCAGGGCUCAUCCCAAAAUAAAGUUAAAGGAAUUUUUUUAGGUAGCCUUUUGAAAAUGGGAUACAAGUUUGAAAGAAGGGAAUGUAUCAAAUCUAUCAAAAGCACUCCAAUUCCUCUUGACACUAAAACUCCUUCCACUCCUUACUCUAGAGUAAGCCAAGCUUCUGUUCAAAGUGAAAUGAGGUUCAAUUUAUUAAUGUGAAUUAAUGGGAAGUUGACUGAACAAAUUGAGAAGAUUAUUAAAAUUGAAGAAAGGUUGCAACAACUUGAGAACUUCAUUCUUAAAGAAAAGGAAACAAGGUCCCCUGUAUUGGAGAAAAGUGAAACAGAACAGCUUGAAAUUCAUGCUUAUGACCAUUAAACUACUAAAGAAAAUGCUAAACAUGGGAAGAAGGAUCAGAAUGAUGAAGUGGGUUCUCAACCAUAAAUAGCUGUGGGAAUUGAAAAGGAAAAUGAAAGUGAAGAAGUGGCAAAGAAGAUGAAUCAAGAAAAAUAACAAGAGACAAAAGUUGAAAAAGAAAAUCUAAAUGAAUAAAAGUCAAAAGUUGCAAAAAAUGAGAAAUCUCUUGAAGAAUCAAAAGAAAUAUUGUUGAAAUGCUUAAAGAGGCUAUAGUUGAUGAAGCAAAAGCUAAGAAAAGAAUGGAGCAAGAAGUUGAAUCAGUUCAGAAAGAAAAUGAGGAUAUCACACGUCAAUAAACUUAGAGCAAAGGGAAGGUAACAAUCAUUGGUUCAGUCUCUAAGAAACCUUUUGGGAGAGGCAAAAAGAUAAUGGCAACCAAGACCACCACUCUUAGAAGAAGGAAAUCUACAAGAUUGGCAUUGAAUACUAUUAAACAACCCUUCAAACCUAAACCUCCUCAAAUCAUUUCCUCAACAUCUACCUCCUUAUCCUUUACAUUCUCUAAUUCCUCCUCCAAUUCCUCCCAUAAACCCUUGAAAAUGCACUUUGGCACUGAUGAGUCCUCGUCAUCCUCAUUUGAUUAAAUUUAAGCUUAAGUAGGAUCAUCUUUUUGGAUGUUGACAAAAAAAGGGGGAGAAUUAGGAAGAAAAGAAUGGUUAGAAAGAUAUACAUAGGGAGGAAUGUGCCUAUUGGGUGUAUGUUUCUAUGACUAUGGGUUAUGUUUUAAUGGUUUUAUGCUUUUAUGCUACUAACUAUUUCGUGGAUAAGAAUUAUGAACUAUCAUUGUUUGUGGUAUGCUUAUGGUUACUAAUUUUAUGAUUAUAUUGGUUGAUAGACUAUUGUGUGUUGUUGAUGACUAUAUAUUAUUAAUAAUUGUGGGAGAUUUAGGCACAUACAUUGUAACACCCUCAAUUUUUGGCAUAAACUAAGUUAACUAAGAAUGAUUUAUGAGAUAUAUCGUUCCUUAAGGACUAAAAUGACAUGUUGUAUAAGCCAAGUCUAUGAAACUGUGUAUGUUGGCACUUAGGCAAAUUUUUAUGGAAAUAUGUGAUAAAUCCUAUAGUUUAAGGCUUUGAUUUGAAUUUGAUGUUACAUUUGAGAAAUAUGUGCACAAACAUGAGAUAUGAUGGUUAUUUGGAUCUUGACUUAAGCAUGAAUGAUUUUGGGGUGUUCAGUUUGGAUUUUUUAAAGUCUGGAAGGGUGAAAAUUUGCCUACAAGAGAAAAUAUAUCAAUACAUCCCCUAAAGUAUCAAUUCAUUCUUGGCAAGAUGAACAAUAAAGGCCUCCAAGAGAUUUUCUAUCGAUACAUUCAAGAACAUAUCGAUAGAUUUGGCCAAAGAUGAACAUGUAUCGAUACAUUAUCCAAAUGCAUCGAUACAUUUGAAGCAGAGAGCACCCAUAGGGCACCUGAGGGAAAAAGUAUCGAUACAUUCCCUUCGUGCGUCAAUACAUGUGGUGCAGUAAGCUAUUCUGGCUGAAACCUAUCGAUACAUUUAGCUGAAAUAAGGGCAAAUGUAUUAAUACAUUGCCAAAUGUUUCAAUACAUCGCUGAAAAAAGGCAAAAAUAAAAAUGAUUUCAAGUUAUCUGCCCCAUUUUAAACAAAAUCGUAAAUCUUCCUUUCUCUCGACCCUUCGAAAACUUUAAGCCACAAACGAAUUUCUAGAGUGAUUUGGAGCGAAUUCGAGCUUGGGGAAACAUUGUUGAGGUAAGAUUAAAAGUUUUUACCGAUUAUUUUUUAAUUUAAUCGAUUAUAUUCAAAGAAAUCAAAUUUCUCCAACUUAGGUGAAUCUCUUCCUAUUUGGCUGGAAUUUGAAGCUAAGAUUCAUGCAAUCCAACCUCUAAGGUAUGGGUUUAGCUCAUUAUUGAAGGAUUUGAGCUAAUGAGUUGGAUUGAUAAGGAUUUAGUUAUUUUUAGAAAAGCUGGCAUUUUUCAAAAACUAAGAUUUAAUUAAUAAUUGGGUAUUUUGAUGUGUUCUAAGGGGGAAGUUGAGGUAAUUAAUUCAUUGGUGAGCUAGAAGAUGAUUAGAGGCUAAAGUGAGCUUGGUUGUGGAGCACCUUCAAUUUGUCACACUGAGUCAGUUAAUUAAAUACAUGUGAUGCAUGACACUUGUUAGAGGCGCUGCCAUGGUACUAGGUUAGAAACAUAUAUAUGUAUGUAUAUAAUUGCCUAGAAGGAUGUUCCUAGGCUAGAGAGAGAAAAUAUGUGUGAUCAUAUGUUGUGUUGUGUGCCUUAAUGCAAGCCACAUUGGCAGCCUAUGGUAGGUAAGCUUAGACUAGGACGUCUAGAGGAUAUGAUAAACCCCAAGGUAAAUGAUAUGUUAAGAGGAUUUGAUCAAGUGAUGCCUUGGAGAUGUAAAGGCACUUAAAACCCUAAACAAGCUUAUAGACAAUUGAAGCUCGAUAAAUGUGAUUCAUGAUUUGAGGUGGACAUAUGGAAUAUUAAAGGCAGGAUGGCCUUAUUUGUGGAUAUGUAUUUCGUCUAGGGAAUGACUUUUAAACGUUGAUUUAAUUUGAGUUGAGUGGAGCCUCAUUCCUUUGUGACUUUGUAUUGUCCUCGGAAGGAUGGCGGUAAGCAAAGAUAGUGGUAUAUGUCCCACUUGUGAUUCUCGCCUGUAAAUCCUUGAUGCCACCCGUCCGAGAAUUCUCUAGGUGAUGUCGACCAUUGGGAGAUUACUCUAGUCGAUGAAUUUGAUUCUCCACUUGUUGCUUCGGCACUCGCGUGAUUUGUUUUCCAUUAACAGCUAUGACUUGAGCAUAAUUUGAUUCUCCACCGGUCGGCCACCAAGCGUGAUUUCACUCUGUCUAGGGGAAGACCACUCAAUGAUUGGACUCGAUUGUGUAAGGUAUGAGAUAGCCUUGGAAAGGCUUAGACAUGUUUGAUCUGAAAAUGAUUUGAUACUCUAAUGAUUAGAAUGUGCUGUUGAGAAUGAUUUGACUGACUUUGGAUGGCUUCUAGGGUAAGCCCGAUGAUCUGUGUGAUAAAAUUGGAGACAUUAAGGAUGAUGAUAUGCUAUCAUAUAGAAGACUUUAGGGAUAAUGAAAUGCUCUUAUCUAGAGACGUUUGUUAGAACAUUUAGAUGCACUAAUAAUGCAUAUAUUUUAUAUAUUUUUUUUUAUAAUUGAGGGAGGGGGGAUUCGAACCCUGCUCUUUAGGCAGAGGAUCAUGCACCAACCAAUAAGCCAAAUGCUCGGAUGCAAUGCAUAUAUUUUAUAUAUGUGUUUAAUAUAUAUAUAUAUAUAUAUAUAUAUAUAUAUAUNAUAUAUUUUAUAUAUGUGUUAUAUAUAUAUAUAUAUAUAUAUAUAUAUAUAUGAUUUUGAUUAUCUACACCACUCACUGAGAAUUAGAUGACUCACCCAUUGUUGUACCAUUUGCAGAUAAAUAGGCCACUAGAUAGUGCAUGGCAUAGGUCGUUCAUUGACAGACCGAUUUUGGCAUCUGGUAGGUUCCCAUUUGGUCACUCCACUGAGUCCAUCAUGAGCUUCCGUAUAUGGUUGGCUUUGAUGUAUGUAGGCACGAUGUGCCAUUUGAACUUGUGUAAAGGUUGUUAUGUAUGAACCCAAUUUGUAUGGCCAAUGUAUGGCCUUAUAAAUAUUGUGUAUGGAUUAAGUGCUGAGGAAAAUUUUAUGUAUUUGAGUUUUAGAUAUUCCACGAAUAUGAAUAUUUGGAAAAUCCUUGGCUAUUUGUAUGAUUUGAAUUCUGAGGCUUGCUCGGGUUUUGUAGACUUCGCUGUCAAGCCUAGCUCGACAAUAUGUUUAUUAUGCCAUUCCUACAUAAGAAUGCAUGUUUGCUUACUUGGGUACCUUGGAAAUCAUUAAAGGACGGCAAUGUACCAAAUGGUACAAUUAAGUUGAAUUAAGCCUUCAACUAGUCCAAAUAGAGAUUUUAAGAUGAAAUUGAGAAUUUUAAAACCCCAGAAUGACUUAAAAUGAUGAUUCGGAGUUUGAGGACCGAUUUAGAGUCAAAUUGGAAUUUUCAUGACCUAAGGGCAAAAUGGUCAUUUUGCCACCCGAGGUUAAAAUUAGAAUGUUGGAAGAAGUUUUUGAUCAAGAUUGACUAUUUAGAACAUAAUUUGAGUUUGAGAAGUGAAAAAUUUUAAUUCUGGCAUUUUUUGAGUAUAAAGGGUAAAAUAGUCAUUUUGCCACCCCAUGGGCAUAAUUGUAAUUUUACACACCCAACACUUGUCCAACACAUGGAUUUUACCCAAUAUUAUCAUGGAUAAUUGAGGAAAUUUAAGUGGUGGAGAGAGAUUGCUUAAUGGGUAAGAAUGACACAUGGAACAAUGGAAUGGUGACAUGUGUCAAAUUUUCAUCCAUUUAUUAUUUUCCUUAUAAAUUAGCACAAAAUCAGCCCAUUUCUCUUCAUAUGGCCGGCCAAAGGAAGAAAAGAAAGAACAAGAACCCUAGAGUGAAAAUUCAAGAGAAAUUUGGUGGAUUUCAAGUAAUCAAGCAAUCAAAGGUAAAAUUUCUUGAUUUUGACUUGUGAUUUACCUUUCCCAUACAUUCUUUUGCAUUUUCAUGGUUGAAUCACAUGAUUUCAUGAUGGGUAUCUUGCUGGCUGAACACUUAGAGAGAGGUUUUGAUGCUUGAUUUGGUUAGAUUUCAAUGUAUUUUAGUGUUUUUAGUUAGUUAGUGAUGUGUAGCAUGAAAAGCCAACAAGAAAAUUCAUUUUCUCCCAUCACCCAUCAUUGGCCGAAUUCUCCAUGUGAAAUAUUGAUGAUGAUUUUGAUUUUAUUUCUAGUGAUUUGGUUAGGAAUUAGUGAUUUAUGGUGAAAGAAUCAAGCUUGAAAAAUUAUAGUGUUGAUGCACCCACCAUGGCCGAAUUUUCCAAGAGAAAAUGUGAGGAUGAUUUUGCCAUAUUUCAAUUUAUUUAGUUUGUGUUUAAUGAUUUGGAGUAUUGGGAGAAAAAUGGAAUUAUUUGGAGUUGAAUUGGACAUAAUGGCAAAUUAAUCGGGUGAUAGAUCGAAUUAGGUCAAUACCGUUUUAUUUAGGUACACAAUUGAAUUUGUGUAGAACACCGUGUUUAGACAAUAAUCCGAACAAUUUACAUUCCAUUUCAUGCAUUAGUAUAGAGCCUGAAUUGGUUUUAUAAUAAUUUAGCAUAAAUGUAGUAAAUGGCUUAUUGUGCAUUAUGUCUAGGUGGUGAGCAUUCUGGCAAAAGUAAAGAGAUAGUACCCGAGGAUCAAGAAUCGGAGUACUCGGAAUUCGACUCUCGAAAUAGUGAGUAACCUUACUAUCGUCUUAAUUAUCUAAAGUGGUUUUUAUCUGAUUUUGUGAUUUUAUGGAAAAUAAGUUUAAAUGGUAAAUCUUUAUGUUUUAAAAGCAAAAUGUGAUUAAAGGAAAUGAUUUUAAAAAUUGUCUUGAAAUUGAAAGAUGGUUUUGGUAAUGGAGUAAUUGGAGACUAAUUGUUGUGUUAUAAAUCAUGGUUUGAAUUGAAUGGCUUAUGAUAAUAUUGGCAUGAAUAGUUAAAUUGGUAUUUGUGCUGAAAAUGUAUAAACUGUUGUUCGACUUGAUAGGAUGGAUAAUGAUAAAAUUGCCAUGUCAUGCUGUUGAAUUUUAUUGAAUUAGUGGGUUAUUGAUUAGUAGUUGCAGUGGAUGGGUUCCGUGGACCAAUUUAUUAGAGGGAGCACGGUAACCUUAUUAUAUUCAUACCUCAGUAUGAGAAACGCGGAUGGAUAACUCCUGAGGUUAACACUUUAGAGUUCACUUCACGCCAAACCACCACGUGACGGUGAACUCAGCCAACGCCAAGGAUCGGCUAUAUUUUUCAAAUAAAAAUAUGAUUUAUGCGUACAUAACUUUUUAAUAGCCUUGGCGGACUCGGUUGGGAUAUCUCUUGGCCAAGGUAUCCCUGAUAACUGAGUAUGAGAAUGAUUUUGGCACGAGCCAAAGUUUUAAGAAAUUCAUAAGCCAUGUUGAUUACUCAAUUUAUAUCAAUUGAUUUUAUUUGGUUGAAAUGAGUUGAAAGGUGAUGAAUUACAAUAUGCUAAUCUAUUUUAUCUGUCUCCAUUUACUCAGCUUUAUAUAUUUUAGAUGGUAUUUGUUUGCUCACUGGGAUUAUAUAAUCUCACGACUCUCCUUUCCACCCAUUUCAGGCUCAGGAUAGUCGGUAGAUAGCUCACUUUGUUGAGGGCUACAAUUGGACUUGCAUCCUCAAAAAUUGUAGGUUUACCGCUUUUGAUACUUUUGGUCGUUCGUGGGCCCACGUGUCACUGUAAAUUAAAUUUUAUACUUUGGUUAUCUGUAUUACAGUAUGUAUGAAUUUAUUUAGCUUUUACGCUACAAAAAUUAUUUACCGGUAACUCUAUAAAUAUUGUUUUAUAAGAAAAUAAAAUAUUUUAUUGAAUAUUUUUAUUAUAUUCAAAUAGUCA